This 482-nucleotide ribosomal RNA is filed under the name uncultured bacterium. RNAcentral's name for it is "partial 16S ribosomal RNA". It matches the Rfam family "Bacterial small subunit ribosomal RNA", at positions 28 to 523 of the family's 1533-position model. The record is from RNAcentral.
GACGAACGCCGGCGGCGUGCUUAACACAUGCAAGUCGAACGAUGAAGCCCAGCUUGCUGGGUGGAUUAGUGGCGAACGGGUGAGUAACACGUGGGCAACCUGCCCCAAACUCUGGGAUAACUCCUCGAAAGAGGUGCUAAUACCGGAUACGAACUAGACAGACAUCUGUACUAGUUGGAAAGUUCUUCGGUUUGGGAUGGGCCCGCGGCCUAUCAGCUUGUUGGUGAGGUAACGGCUCACCAAGGCUACGACGGGUAACCGGCCUGAGAGGGCGACCGGUCACACUGGGACUGAGACACGGCCCAGACGCCUACGGGAGGCAGCAGUGGGGAAUAUUGCGCAAUGGGCGAAAGCCUGACGCAGCGACGCCGCGUGAGGGAUGAAGGUCUUCGGAUCGUAAACCUCUUUCAGUAGGGACGAAGCGAAAGUGACGGUACCUAAAGAAGAAGCACCGGCUAACUACGUGCCAGCCGCCGCAGUAA